AGAGAUUAAAUGGAAGGGUACAUCCAUCCUCACCUCGCUCCCACACACUGCCCCACAGCCUAAGCCUGUCCCAGCCCAUGAAUGCCAGGCACUGCCCUGGAACCCAGAUGCCAGCUGGUCAUUUCUAAAGGCUCCCUAUUUGAUUCUAAAGGUUCUCUAAUGAUACUUUUCCAGAAAAAGAUAUACAUAGGCUAGAACAACACCCCCACCUUGCAGACCCGCCUUCUGGAGGAGUGAGAGUGACAAGGCAGCACAAGGAACACAAGUGAGGUGCUGACAUUCGCCCUUGGCAGGGCAGAGUCCUGCCAGACCAAGUGCCUCUCCUCAGCUCCACAGGGCUUGGAAGUUAGGAAAGGGAAAUUUCUAUUCCCACACUUUAAAUUGCUGUUACUUCGACUACGCUGCUUUGCUCUGGGCUGUGUGCUCCGAUGGCCCUGCCAGCUCUCAGGCAGUCAAACAGCUUUCCCUCCAUCCAGUUUGAGCAGCUCUACACCUAAAAUCAUGCCCUGAAGAGACACUCAGAGGCAGUUCCCCAACACCCCAGACCCUGGGCUGCGUUACCCCAUUUUGAGAUCUCAUCCCAGGAGCUCCAGGGCAAACUCCCCCUCCACCAGCGCAGGGACAAUGUUGCCAGGCAAGAAGAGACAGCAGAGCAAACACUCCAGCCCACCCCAUUGUCAGCUGCUGUGCUGGAUUAAACAAGACCAGAAUUCACUCCUCUUAUUGCAGGACAAAUUAAUUGAUAACAGAACCAGUCAAAGCAGAUGUGGUCGUGGCCUCCUGAACUGCCCUAUUGCAAGGAAAGGGCUGAGCAACAUCAAAGACAAAGGUGUUUUUCCAACCUAUGUCUCAGGUUCUCAUUUGGAGGAGAUCCUGACACUCAUCUUUUGCCUCUGCCCAUUGAUUUACUUCUGGUAAGAAAGCCAGCAGACCAAGGGAUUCUGGCUAGAAGACAGCCACUGAACUUUCCAGCCUAGGUUCUGGACAUCCCAGAACAUGGAAUCAUGUAACAGAGAGAGCUGUGCCACAGCUGAAAUACAACCAGAAUGUCUAAAUGACUGAUCCACCCUCACUGAGGAAACCUGCAGCUUAUCAAGGGCUCUGAGCUCAUAUCCCAGGAUUUGAUACAGGGCUCUAGCUACUCUUCCAUCAUUCACAUGAGUAGAGUUACUACACAGCACACUGACUAUCUUGGAAUUAAUUUCUUUUCACUCCAGUAAGACAGUUCAGCAGCACAACUCGGUGUUCUGAGGCGUCCCAGGAGAGUUGCACAGCACUGGCUACCAAGAGAUGCUCAGUUGUUCCACUUUUAAGUGUCCUUGUGCCCAUUAUAACAUUGUAAUAAAAAUAACCAGAAGCGGGUAUGUGCUCCCA
This 1374-nucleotide long non-coding RNA is filed under the name Cyanistes caeruleus (blue tit). Its description in RNAcentral is "lncRNA (ENSCCEG00000004807.1)". The record is from RNAcentral. Lineage: Eukaryota; Metazoa; Chordata; Aves; Passeriformes; Paridae.